This is a non-coding RNA of Clupea harengus (Atlantic herring), 69 nucleotides long. NCBI's taxonomy places the organism in Eukaryota, Metazoa, Chordata, Actinopteri, Clupeiformes, Clupeidae. The record is from Ensembl.
GCUAGUGUAGCUUAAACAAAGCAUAACCUUGAAGAUGUUAAGACGAGCCCUAGGAAAGCUCCACAAGCA